This 468-nucleotide ribosomal RNA is filed under the name uncultured bacterium. RNAcentral's name for it is "partial 16S ribosomal RNA". It matches the Rfam family "Bacterial small subunit ribosomal RNA", at positions 28 to 507 of the family's 1533-position model. The record is from RNAcentral.
GACGAACGCUGGCGGCGUGCUUAACACAUGCAAGUCGAACGGAAAGGCCCUGCUUUUGUGGGGUGCUCGAGUGGCGAACGGGUGAGUAACACGUGAGUAACCUGCCCCUGACUUUGGGAUAACUUCAGGAAACUGGGGCUAAUACCGGAUAGGAGCUCCUGCUACAUGGUGGGGGUUGGAAAGUUUCGGCGGUUGGGGAUGGACUCGCGGCUUAUCAGCUUGUUGGUGGGGUAGUGGCUUACCAAGGCUUUGACGGGUAGCCGGCCUGAGAGGGUGACCGGCCACAUUGGGACUGAGAUACGGCCCAGACUCCUACGGGAGGCAGCAGUGGGGAAUAUUGCACAAUGGGCGGAAGCCUGAUGCAGCAACGCCGCGUGCGGGAUGACGGCCUUCGGGUUGUAAACCGCUUUCGCCUGUGACGAAGCGUGAGUGACGGUAAUGGGUAAAGAAGCACCGGCUAACUACGUG